AGGACGAACGCUGGCGGCGUGCUUAACACAUGCAAGUCGAGCGGAAAGGCCCUUCGGGGUACUCGAGCGGCGAACGGGUGAGUAACACGUGAGCAACCUGCCCCUGGCUCUGGGAUAGCCUCCGGAAACGGGGAUUAAUACCGGAUAUUCACUGCUUCCUGCAUGGGGGGUGGUGGAAAGUUUUUCGGCUAGGGCGGGGCUCGCGGCCUAUCAGCUUGUUGGGGGGGUGACGGCCCACCAAGGCGACGACGGGUAGCCGGCCUGAGAGGGCGACCGGCCACACUGGGACUGAGACACGGCCCAGACUCCUACGGGAGGCAGCAGUGGGGAAUAUGCGCAAUGGGCGGAAGCCUGACGCAGCGACGCCGCGUGCGGGAUGAAGGCCUUCGGGUUGUAACCGCUUUCACCAGGACGAAGCGAGAGUGACGGUACCUGGGGAAGAAGCGCCGGCGUAACUACGCGCCAGCAGCCGC
This 473-nucleotide ribosomal RNA is filed under the name uncultured bacterium. RNAcentral describes it as "SSU rRNA". It matches the Rfam family "Bacterial small subunit ribosomal RNA", at positions 26 to 518 of the family's 1533-position model. The record is from RNAcentral.